RNAcentral lists this ribosomal RNA (254 nucleotides) under uncultured bacterium. RNAcentral's name for it is "partial 16S ribosomal RNA". It matches the Rfam family "Bacterial small subunit ribosomal RNA", at positions 524 to 776 of the family's 1533-position model. The record is from RNAcentral.
UACGUAGGGGGCAAGCGUUUGUCCGGAAUCAUUGGGCGUAAAGCGCGUGUAGGCGGUCCGGUAAGUCCGCUGUGAAAGUCGGGGGCUCAACCCUCGGAUGCCGGUGGAUACUGUCGGGCUUGAGUACGGAAGAGGCGAGUGGAAUUCCUGGUGUAGCGGUGAAAUGCGCAGAUAUCAGGAGGAACACCAAUUGCGAAGGCAGCUCGCUGGGACGUUACUGACGCUGAGACGCGAAAGCGUGGGGAGCAAACAGG